CUGAAGAAGAGAGGCCAUGGACAUGGAAGCAGAUCUUGGAUAAAGAUUGAUCAGAAUGGUGGCUCCAAGAUUUUGGAGCUUGAUAAGGCUACUAUAAUGAGACAUUGUUCCUUACCUGCACGGGAUCUACGACUAUUGGAUCCACUUUUCAUUUACCCUUCUACUAUUUUAGGACGGGAGAAAGCUAUUGUGGUCAGUCUUGAACAAAUUAGAUGUAUAAUCACAGCUGAUGAGGUUAUCCUAAUGAAUUCCUUAGAUGGAUGUGUUGUCCAAUAUGAGUCAGAAUUCUGCAAACGUCUCCAGACAAACAAAGAUCAAGCUGAGGACUUGCCAUUCGAAUUUAGAGCUCUAGAAUUGGCUUUGGAAUUAGCUUCAUGUCUCUUGAUGCUCAGGUAAAAGAACUGGAGAUGGAGAUUUAUCCAGUGUUGGAUGAACUAGCAUCAUCUAUUAAUACUCUUAAUCUGGAAUGUGUCCGCAGACUAAAAGGCCACCUUCUCACAUUGACUCAACGAGUCCAGAAGGUGCAUGAUGAGAUAGAACAUCUCAUGGAUGAUGAUGGUGACAUGGCUGAGAUGUAUCUGACGGAGAAAAAAGAGAGGGCAGAAGCUUGUGCACUUGGCGACUUGUAUUUUCAAAAUAAUAUCUCGGGUGAGAC
This 655-nucleotide unclassified non-coding RNA is filed under the name Hevea brasiliensis (rubber tree). Lineage: Eukaryota; Viridiplantae; Streptophyta; Magnoliopsida; Malpighiales; Euphorbiaceae. The record is from RNAcentral.